Molecule: ribosomal RNA, 374 nt
Filed under: uncultured organism
Description: partial 16S ribosomal RNA
Rfam family: Bacterial small subunit ribosomal RNA
Source: RNAcentral
GUAGGUGGCAAGCGUUGUCCGGAAUUAUUGGGCGUAAAGCGCGCGCAGGCGGUCCUUUAAGUCUGAUGUGAAAGCCCACGGCUCAACCGUGGGGGGUCAUUGGAAACUGGGGGACUUGAGUACAGAAGAGGAAAGCGGAAUUCCAAGUGUAGCGGUGAAAUGCGUAGAGAUUUGGAGGAACACCAGUGGCGAAGGCGGCUUUCUGGUCUGUAACUGACGCUGAGGCGCGAAAGCGUGGGGAGCAAACAGGAUUAGAUACCCUGGUAGUCCACGCCGUAAACGAUGAGUGCUAAGUGUUAGGGGGUUUCCCGCCCCCCUUAGUGCUGCAGCUAACGCAUUAAGCACUCCGCCUGGGGAGUACGGCCGCAAGGCUA